UGGGGGAUAUUGCACAAUGGGGGGAACCCUGAUGCAGCGACGCCGCGUGGGCGAUGGAGCGCCUCGGCGCGUAAAGCCCUAUCAGCAGGGAAGAAGAUGACGGUACCUGACUAAGAAGCCCCGGCUAAAUACGUGCCAGCAGCCGCGGUAAUACGUAUGGGGCAAGCGUUAUCCGGAUUUACUGGGUGUAAAGGGAGCGCAGGCGGCCUGGCAAGCCUGAUGUGAAAUACCGGGGCCCAACCCCGGGGCUGCAUUGGGAACUGCCAGGCUGGAGUGCCGGAGAGGCAGGCGGAAUUCCUAGUG
RNAcentral lists this ribosomal RNA (303 nucleotides) under uncultured bacterium. Its description in RNAcentral is "bacterial SSU rRNA". It matches the Rfam family "Bacterial small subunit ribosomal RNA", at positions 355 to 675 of the family's 1533-position model. The record is from RNAcentral.